This 380-nucleotide ribosomal RNA is filed under the name uncultured eukaryote. RNAcentral's name for it is "partial 18S ribosomal RNA". It matches the Rfam family "Eukaryotic small subunit ribosomal RNA", at positions 592 to 976 of the family's 1831-position model. The record is from RNAcentral.
CAAUAGCGUAUAUUAAAGUUGUUGCGGUUAAAAAGCUCGUAGUUGGAUUUCUGCUGAGGACGAUCGGUCCGCCCACUGGGUGAGUAUCUGGCUCGGCCUUGGCAUCUUCUUGGAGAACGUUGCUGCACUUGACUGUGUGGUGCGGUAUCCAGGACUUUUACUUUGAGGAAAUUAGAGUGCUUCAAGCAGGCGCACGCCUUGAAUACAUUAGCAUGGAAUAAUAAGAUAGGACCUUGGUUCUAUUUUGUUGGUUUCUAGAGCUGAGGUAAUGAUUAAUAGGGAUAGUUGGGGGCAUUCGUAUUUAACUGUCAGAGGUGAAAUUCUUGGAUUUGUUAAAGACGGACUACUGCGAAANCANNNGCCAAGGAUGUUUUCAUNGA